UAACCACUCAAGCUCUCGCUUGGUAUUGGGGUUCGCGGUUUCGCGGCCCCUAAAAUCAGUGGCGGUGCCUAUCGGCUCUACGCGUAGUAAUACUCCUCGCGAUUGAGUCCGGUAGGUCUACUUGCCAGCAACCCCCUAAUUUUUUUAA
Molecule: unclassified non-coding RNA, 148 nt
Filed under: uncultured Ascomycota
Lineage: Eukaryota; Fungi; Ascomycota
Description: sequence contains ITS2
Source: RNAcentral